CCUACGGGGUGCAGCAGUGGGGAAUAUUGGACAAUGGGCGAAAGCCUGAUCCAGCCAUGCCGCGUGUGUGAAGAAGGCCUUCGGGUUGUAAAGCACUUUCAGUGGGGAAGAAAGCCUUGGGGCUAAUACCCUCGAGGAAGGACAUCACCCACAGAAGAAGCACCGGCUAACUCCGUGCCAGCAGCCGCGGUGAAUACGGAGGGUGCGAGCGUUAAUCGGAAUUACUGGGCGUAAAGCGCGCGUAGGCGGUCUGAUAAGCCGGUUGUGAAAGCCCCGGGCUCAACCUGGGAACGGCAUCCGGAACUGUCAGGCUAGAGUGCAGGAGAGGAAGGUAGAAUUCCCGGUGUAGCGGUGAAAUGCGUAGAGAUCGGGAGGAAUACCAGUGGCGAAGGCGGCCUUCUGGACUGACACUGACGCUGAGGUGCGAAAGCGUGGGUAGCAAACAGGAUUAGAUACCCUAGUAGUC
This 466-nucleotide ribosomal RNA is filed under the name Vreelandella stevensii. RNAcentral describes it as "partial 16S ribosomal RNA". It matches the Rfam family "Bacterial small subunit ribosomal RNA", at positions 338 to 795 of the family's 1533-position model. Lineage: Bacteria; Pseudomonadati; Pseudomonadota; Gammaproteobacteria; Oceanospirillales; Halomonadaceae. The record is from RNAcentral.